AAGAUUUGCACCAAUUUCAUCGAUCAUUAUACCACAUUACGGGUACUAAAAGUGUAGAUAUGUGUGUGUAUAUAGUUAGUCAGGGUCUUGCGUCUGAUUAGCUAGUUGGUAAGAUAAUAGCUUACCAAUGCGAUGAUAAGUAGCUAGUCCAAGAAGAUGAUCAGCCACACUAGAAUUGAGACACGACCCAACGGGGAAUUUCAAUGGGCGAAAGUCUGAUGGAGCAAUGCCACGUGGAGGUAGAAGGCCCACGGGUCGUGAACUUCUUUUACCCGAGAAAGAGACCUUGAAUUUGCUUCUAAUUUAACUUAGUCUGGUGGGAAGUAGUUUAAAAUCGUUUUCAGACUUGUUAACAUUUUGGAAUGAUGUCUUUUUUGUUAACUACA
Molecule: non-coding RNA, 386 nt
Filed under: Nicotiana sylvestris (wood tobacco)
Lineage: Eukaryota; Viridiplantae; Streptophyta; Magnoliopsida; Solanales; Solanaceae
Description: Bacterial small subunit ribosomal RNA
Rfam family: Bacterial small subunit ribosomal RNA
Source: Rfam by way of RNAcentral